UACGGGGGGGGCAAGCGUUGUUCGGAAUUACUGGGCGUAAAGGGCUCGUAGGCGGCCCUCUCAGUCGGAUGUGAAAUCCCCAGGCUUAACCUGGGAAUGGCAUCCGAUACUGGAGGGCUUGAAUUCGGGAGAGGGAUGCAGAAUUCCAGGUGUAGCGGUGAAAUGCGUAGAUAUCUGGAGGAACACCGGUGGCGAAGGCGGCAUCCUGGACCAAUACUGACACUGAGGAGCGAAAGCCAGGGGAGCAAACGGG
Molecule: ribosomal RNA, 253 nt
Filed under: uncultured bacterium
Lineage: Bacteria
Description: partial 16S ribosomal RNA
Rfam family: Bacterial small subunit ribosomal RNA
Source: RNAcentral